Molecule: long non-coding RNA, 1764 nt
Filed under: Homo sapiens (human)
Lineage: Eukaryota; Metazoa; Chordata; Mammalia; Primates; Hominidae
Description: chromosome 15 putative open reading frame 32, transcript variant 2 (C15orf32)
Source: RNAcentral
AAAACCUCCUGAAACCUAGGUCUGGCCUUCAGGGAAUCUGAUUCCUUGGUCUGGGGUAUGGCCCGGGCAUCUCCUGAAGCUCACCAGGUCACACAGAGGUGUAGCCCCAGCUGGGAACCACUGACCCAGACUCAGUUCCUGAAUUUCUGUGACCGCUUCCAUGGCAGCCCCUCUCAGGCCCCUGGUGUGAGGUCUUUCUUUUGCUUCUGGCUUCUGAGAGUUUCCUUUCCUGAUUCCAGGCUGGGCUCGGUUUUGUCUGGUGGGUUUUUUUGCCACUGCCGUUGUGUUAGUGGCAUCCAGGUCUCCGGAUUACUGCAUGCUUGCAGUGGGAGGAAAGGCCUGUCUACCAUGUUCUCUGCCUCCCCUUCAUGUUCUGUGAGGAGAGGGGCCUUGUCUGGCAUGUUCACCGAGGCAUUCCUGACCACUAGAACUGUGCUUGGCACAGAGUAGGCACUUAAUAAACUCCUGCUGCAUGAACAAAAGAACAAGUGUGGAUGCUUCAAAGGAAGACUUGCACCCGGCUGACCCCCAGAGUGGGGAAGGGGUCCCACCUAAUAGGAAGAACACCAAGACUUCCCCAAGAGGAGAAGGAACGGCUCCCCCUUUCUCGGCGAGGCCAUGUGUCUGGACCCUGUGUGAGAUGCUUUCUAUACUAGCCCUUGUUGGGGUGUUGCACCCAUUUUACAGAUCAAACAACCAAGUUUAUCAGAAAUUAAAGACUCAUUUAAGAUGCCAAAGCUCACGAGUGGAUGGUUUGAUGCUGAAGCCAACAUUGUUAACACCAUCUCAGCUCAAAAGCCCUGAAGGCCACUUAAUUCUACCAACCUUCAACCAUCUUGUCAUAAGACACAUCCUCGACCCAAAGCAGAUAUUCUGUGUAGCUGAUGUGUGUACAGAUUGCAAAUUCAAUUGCGGAAGCAUAGAGAGGCACCAGAAGAGGCAUCUUAUGAGAGUCAGCCAGGACUGGUAAUGAGCAAACCAUCACCUUGAAUAGCCUCUGAGAGGGAACAUUUAAUAAGAUACAGAAACCAGAUUUGCUUGAGCUGAAUGCUGGAUCGCCAUGGCAACCUUCCUUUGGAGGUUAUCCAAGUCAGGUAGUGACAGCAAAGCUGAGUUAAAGGUCACCCCUGCUGAGAAAGAUGGGCAUUGAUAAAGGAUUUUAACAAGACCCAGAGGAGCUGGUAUUUGGAAGCUACCUACAGAGGAUCGACGAGGCCCUAGGAAUGGGUGGCAAACAACAUCAGGAAGAGGGGGGCAUCCUGCAGGGGCUCCCACCAGAGCCCCGACCUCGCCCUUCAGAUCGGGAGCUCCAGCCUUCACCAGAAGCUGAGAUUGGAGCUGUUCGUAAUUGUUCAAUGGAAGGGGGAACAACCAUUUUAACCAGGCAUCCAGAUGGGAAAGAAAUACACUUAUGCCACUCUACACCCAAGACACGCAUUCCUGAAAAGUUCUGAACAAGCCAAAUGCUUGCAAAUGGAACGGGCUUGACCUUCUUUAUCACUCCAGAAAUGCUUUAUUUAAUCUUUUUUCUAUUGGAGCAUCACUUUAAAACCUCAAAGUUGAGAAGGCUUUUCUUUGCAUGAUGCUGAAGCCAGAAGCCUUCAAGGAAACAACAUAAAUAUAAAUAUCUCUGUGGCCAGUCUCUACAAAAAUACAUAAAAAUGAAUUUUAAGCAUAAUAAAAUGUGAAAAAUUGCCCAACUUUCCUCACAAAUGAGUAAAAGCCAAUUUAAAUGAUAAGAAAUGAAUAAAUGCAUAUUAAAGC